This is a long non-coding RNA of Schistocerca gregaria, 706 nucleotides long. RefSeq lists it as uncharacterized. The transcript has 3 exons. The record is from RefSeq and is a predicted model, not a curated record. Lineage: Eukaryota; Metazoa; Arthropoda; Insecta; Orthoptera; Acrididae.
UUUUCGGCAGCCAAUGAGAGACGAGGAACUAGUGAAAUGUUCGAAGCGCUGGAAUUGAAAUCGUUCGACGUUUUACAAAGGUUACUCCGGGCUACCCUUCCUUUGAAUUUUCUGCACGGCAGAUUCGACAUUUUUCUUAAUUACUGAUUUUGAAUAGAGGUUGCUGCGAAAUAUAGAAGGAUGGAGGCUCCAAUCUUCAUAUACCCAUCGUGAUUCAGGUUUUCCGUGGUUUCUCUAAUUUAUUUCAAGUGGUUGCUACUGUAAGGCCACAGCCAACUACCUGUUGCAUCCUUGCCAUACUGUACUAUAUUGCAGAGAGGUCACCAGCAAUGGCCACCAUGAUGCAGUGAACAGAACACCUCAUUGUAGCCAAGAUUACUGAAAAGUAUCACUGAGGAAAAAUUCUGGAGGCAGCUAAAAUUUCCAGCAUACUGGACGCAUGGUUACAGAGUGGAAGAAACUGUAAUUGAACUUAAAGCCAAACAGAAUAGACUAGAAUAAUUUUCUUGUUGUUGGGCCAUUAAGGCAAUAGACAAAGUCAUACAUAUAAUACAAUACAUGUUGUAAUAGAACAAACAGAUAAGUAACAUCCCACCGGCUGUAUGUGGCAACUGAAGAAGCUAAAAAGUUAAUUAUGUAUGUAGAGAAUAUAUUACUAGUAUCAAAGACUUGGGAUGAACAUUGUAAUCUGUUAACAAGAAUUUUG